GCCUGCCCUGGGCCCCGUCCCCACGAGUCUCCCAGAGGUGGCGUUGCUGUCCGGUCUGCAGGGAGGGCGGGCCCUGGGCUGUAGGCUUCUUGAGGCGGGCACUGGUCACAGCUGGGACUAGGUGAGAGCAGAAUUAAGCUUUGGAGAAUGGCUGGGACUGCAGUUGCUGCCUUGGAAAGCUCCAGAAUGCUCUAGAAAGCUCGCUAUGCUGCCAGGAGGCCAGAGCUGGGCAGGAGCUGAGGGAAAGAGAAAUUUCCUUCUACAGAAGGUAUUCUCCCGCCCUGGGAGCAGCCAAGAGUCAAAGGUCACCACUGCAUACUGGACAGGAGGGCUUGUGUCCUUCUGAGGCUUUCAGUAAUGAAGGGCUGUCGCCGGAGCUGCUGUUCCAGAUGCUUGGGGGGCUUUAAUCUCGAGGUGACUUGGAGGCUCACAUGUCCUGCAGAGGGCGCUGGCGUUCCUGGGAGACAGCCUGAAACCUCAAGAACAUCAGGGACCGCGAUGCCUGCUGCUUCCCAUGGAGUCUCCUCUUCUGCUCAUGCUGCUGAGUGCUGGUUCCGAUGGAGUCUCCUCUUCUGCUCAGGCAGUGCCAGGGGCGGCUGAGUGGCCCCUGCCCCAGGCACCUCCACUCGGCAGCGCCACGAGGUCCCAGUCCGCAGGUGGGAGCCAUUCCAACCCACUGGCCCUGCAAUUCCAGCCGAAGCACCCCAGGACACCGGCCUCCUUCCCCGGUGCGUCCAUCCCUGCCGGGCUGUAGGAAUUCCUUCAGGAGCUGCCGGUGCCCUGGGGGGUCUUCAAGCUUCACCCUUUCCCUGAGACAGCCUCGUGUCCCCUCCUCAGCCCCACUCCAUUCUCAGGCGCAGGAGUGCGCCCCUGCAGCCCGCCCAGGCCCCCGAGGCUGAUGGAUGUGUGUUGACGGUGGUGUGUUGGGAGCAUCCCAUCCCCGGCACCAAGAACCAAAUGCAUAAUAAAAAGAUAGAACCAUCACUGCAAUUGUCUGAUCUAUAUUUAUUUCAUAACAUGCAGAAUUAAUAAGAUACCGGGUUUAAAGCUACCAUGGUAACCAAAUGCAGAAUGGCUUGUCCCAGGAAAUAGAUGAAUUCAUAAAUAACCCCGAAGUGCUGAUAUCAACAGUCGCGGGACCCUCCUGCAAUGUUAAUUCGACGCCCGUGCCCCCUGCGGCCUGUGUCCGGCGCAUCCCGGGCAUCUGGAGUGAGGGACACUUGUGGCUUCCACCACAAGCGUCACUCCAGGGACAAUAGACUGGCUGCCCUUACCUGGAGCCUGGUAUGUGAUGGCCAAGUCCUCAAGACUGGGCAAAUCGGAGCCCCUGCCAAGCUCUGAUCCCUGUGGGGACCAGCUCUGCAGAUAAAUGGCCACUGGGAGGUUGUGGGGGUGGGCACAGCAGGCCACCCUAUCGCCCUGUAGUUCUGACAGCCAGGCGGGAGCCUCUGGUCCUGCCUUUGUAGGCACCAAGGCAAUUCAUGGGAGAAGGCAUCUGUUCAUUCAUGCAAUCAGGCAUUCCUUUGACAAAUGUCUCCUGGCCACCAAGCUUGUGGGCACACAGCAGGCGGGCUGGGCAGGGGAGCAGCCUCCAGACACUCAAGCAGCUGACCCUGCCUCCCCGGCCAACGGCAGGAAAUGCUGGGGCCACCUCAGGGCUGUCCCUCCGCACGGGGUGAGAGCCCUGCUGGACAUUCCCUUAGCACUUGACUGAGAGCUGGUCACAUGCUGCCUGUGCCACUGUGGGUCUCCAUGACCUUCACGUUCCACAACAGAACAGCUCCCCACGGCCACGAUUGUGCCAAGGGGCGUGCAGGGGCCAUGGCAGCAUGUGACAGUAGCCAGCAAGGGCCAGGGCAGCAUGUGACAGUAGCCAGCAAGGGCCACGGCAGCUGCCCGACCAGCUGCCCACAGGAUGGGGCUAAGCCACGCUUCCAGGUGGGUGGCCCUGGCCUCGAUUCAGGCCUCAGCCCGUCCUGAGGGUGAGUGCCCCUGCCCCAGGAGCCUGUCUCCUGUCUGAGCAAUGUGAACCCCUGCCCCUGCCUGGCCAGAAUCCCAAGAAAGAAUCCAAUAGAAUCAGUGAAACCCCGGGGCAGGGGUGAGGGAGGCAUGAGGCAAGCACCGGGGACCCUUAGGGCAGGGAAACUAUUGUACAGAGCGCUGUGAGGGUGGGUGCUGUCUUUAUGCACCUGUCCAAAGCCACGCCAUGCACACCUCCAAGAGGGACCCCUAAUGUACGCUGUGGACUCUGAGGAAUGAUGAUUUUGCUGUGAACCUAAAACUGCUCUAAACAAUAAAGU
RNAcentral lists this long non-coding RNA (2300 nucleotides) under Homo sapiens (human). RNAcentral's name for it is "HSALNT0156801". Lineage: Eukaryota; Metazoa; Chordata; Mammalia; Primates; Hominidae. The record is from RNAcentral.